Molecule: long non-coding RNA, 541 nt
Filed under: Homo sapiens (human)
Lineage: Eukaryota; Metazoa; Chordata; Mammalia; Primates; Hominidae
Description: HSALNT0309852
Source: RNAcentral
CCACCGCACCCGGCCGAUAUUACAAAAUCUCCUUCCUCUCCCCCUCCUCCUCCUCCCUCCCUCCCGCAUUAGUUUCCUGACACGAACCUGGCGGCUUAGGACAACACACACUUACUCUCUCACAGUUCCUGAGGCUGGAAGUCCAGAAGUCGGGGUGCUGGCAGGACGUGCUCUUCUGAAGCCUCCAGGGCAGGGCCAGCCGCAUGCCCGUCUCCUCGCUUGGGCACCUGCCAGCGGUCCCCGGCGGUCCCCGGCUCAUUGCUGCAUGGCUCCAACGUCCGCCUCUCCCACCAUGUGGCCUCCUCCUGGUGUCUCUGUGUCCAAAUCUCCCGCUCUGUCUAAGGAUAACAGUCACUGGUCAUGGGACCCAUCCUAAUCCAGGGUGACCUCGUAUUAACCUCAUCACAUCUGCAAAGACUAUUUCCAAGUCAAGCCACACUCCCAGCUGCUGGGGGCGGGACUUGAACAUAUUUUUUGUGGGGACACAAUUCCCCUCUCAGGUUUUAAGAUUUGUCUUUAUCAUUAAAGUUUUCAAAACUAA